AGAGUUUGAUCCUGGCUCAGGACGAACGCUGGCGGCGCGCCUAACACAUGCAAGUCGAACGGAGCUUUGAGAGCUUGCUUUUAAAGCUUAGUGGCGAACGGGUGAGUAACGCGUGAGUAACCUGCCCUGGAGUGGGGGACAACAGUUGGAAACGACUGCUAAUACCGCAUAAGCCCACGGCCCGGCAUCGGGCUGAGGGAAAAGGAUUUAUUCGCUUCAGGAUGGACUCGCGUCCAAUUAGCUAGUUGGUGAGGUAACGGCCCACCAAGGCGACGAUUGGUAGCCGGACUGAGAGGUUGAACGGCCACAUUGGGACUGAGACACGGCCCAGACUCCUACGGGAGGCAGCAGUGGGGGAUAUUGCACAAUGGGGGAAACCCUGAUGCAGCGACGCCGCGUGGAGGAAGAAGGUUUUCGGAUUGUAAACUCCUGUCGUUAGGGACGAUAAUGACGGUACCUAACAAGAAAGCACCGGCUAACUACGUGCCAGCAGCCGCGGUAAAACGUAGGGUGCAAGCGUUGUCCGGAAUUACUGGGUGUAAAGGGAGCGUAGACGGAAGAGCAAGUCUGAUGUGAAAGGCUGGGGCUUAACCCCAGGACUGCAUUGGAAACUGUUUUUCUAGAGUGCCGGAGAGGUAAGCGGAAUUCCUAGUGUAGCGGUGAAAUGCGUAGAUAUUAGGAGGAACACCAGUGGCGAAGGCGGCUUACUGGACGGUAACUGACGCUGAGGAGCGAAAGCGUGGGGAGCAAACAGGAUUAGAUACCCUGGUAGUCCACGCCGUAAACGAUGGAUACUAGGUGUGGGAGGUAUUGACCCCUUCCGUGCCGCAGUUAACACAAUAAGUAAUCCACCUGGGGAGUACGACCGCAAGGUUGAAACUCAAAGGAAUUGACGGGGGCCCGCACAAGCAGUGGAGUAUGUGGUUUAAUUCGAAGCAACGCGAAGAACCUUACCAGGUCUUGACAUCCGAUGCAUAGCAUAGAGAUAUGUGAAGUCCUUCGGGACAUCGAGACAGGUGGUGCAUGGUUGUCGUCAGCUCGUGUCGUGAGAUGUUGGGUUAAGUCCCGCAACGAGCGCAACCCUUAUUGCCAGUUACUACGCAAGAGGACUCUGGCGAGACUGCCGUUGACAAAACGGAGGAAGGUGGGGAUGACGUCAAAUCAUCAUGCCCUUUAUGACCUGGGCUACACACGUACUACAAUGGCGUUUAACAAAGAGAAGCAAGACCGCGAGGUGGAGCAAAACUCAAAAACAACGUCUCAGUUCAGAUUGCAGGCUGCAACUCGCCUGCAUGAAGUCGGAAUAGCUAGUAAUCGCGGAUCAGCAUGCCGCGGUGA
This 1338-nucleotide ribosomal RNA is filed under the name uncultured bacterium. RNAcentral describes it as "bacterial SSU rRNA". It matches the Rfam family "Bacterial small subunit ribosomal RNA", at positions 8 to 1365 of the family's 1533-position model. The record is from RNAcentral.